Molecule: long non-coding RNA, 1544 nt
Organism: Salvia miltiorrhiza (redroot sage)
Lineage: Eukaryota; Viridiplantae; Streptophyta; Magnoliopsida; Lamiales; Lamiaceae
Exons: 5
Source: RefSeq, a predicted model, not a curated record
AAUCAAAUAAGAAUACGGUAUUUCCCUCUCCCGGUAAAAUAUUACUUGGCUGUAUUAUAUCUCAUCAUAUCUAGGAAAAAAAAACCCCGAAAACCCCUCGUUUUGAAUUUCAGGAGUUCACCUCUGAAAGCCACCUGAAAGCAAUCAAUUUUAUCGUAUAUUUAAAGGUACUGGUGAGGUAAGACUUUCAUGGGAUUUUACUCUUCUUUUUUCCCAUGAUUUUGAACUUUCCAUAUUUUUCCUUUCAGCCAUCAGUUUCGGCGUAAAUUCGUAGGCUUCGGUGAGGUACAACAACUAGAACUCAAGUGGGUAGACGAGUAUCCAAUGGGUUGUACAAGAAAGGCAAACUCAUGGACAAAUAUUGUCAAACCCACAUACACAUGUCCAAGCUAAUCUAACGGUCAUUGAUCAACUAGAUAACCAUUUGGUAGGUGGCCAAGCUCCUAGUUCACUUGUUAAAGAGCCAAUACAACAAAAUACAUGUGAGGUUACUAAUAACAAUGGGAGUACAAACGGGACAUGAUAAUAAUCAAGAAAAUGCCACGAUUUGAUAUCACUCUUGGAGAUGAACAUUGGAUUCUAACAUCCAUUAGUAAGAAAUGGAGAAACUGGAAGAGCAAUCUAAAAGCACGAUAUUUCCUCCCAGAUAGAGAAGGCAAAGUUUUAGAUGACCCGGACGAAAUAGUAUUGCAAGAUCAAUGGACUAAUAUGCUUGUUUAUUGAAACAAAGAGGAAGUAAAUGUGUAUUAUAUAUUUUAUUAGAUAUGCGUUUACUUAAUAAUUUUUUUAAAAAUUAUAUUUUAACUAUUCUUUUCCAUAGUUAGUCGAGAAGUGAAAAGAAUCAAGUUACUAGAUCAAAGAGAGUCAUGAAUCAUCUUACUGGAAAAUUAUCAUUUACACAAGUUCAAUACAAAUUGGUGAGCUAUGUUAGUUUUCUUAAAGUUCCCCACCCCAACGCAAAAUAAACAUAUUAUCUUCCACAUCAAACACAUCGUAAAAAUAUGGCAUAACUAGCCCCUAUCACAAAACCAAAAGUUUCAGCCCACAUAGUUGUCUGGCUAACGUUCUUCAUCGUCGAUGAAGCCAUCCACGGCCAGAUCCUCCAAAGGCAGAGGCGUUUCGGGCACCAAUGUGUCUGGCUCCAAGGCCCAUGAAAAAAUCAGGACUUAUUUAGUUGGGUUGUCGUCAACGGCUAUGAAUAAGUGGGAAGAGACUCCGUAAGAGGUGGAGACUGUGAAUCAGUUCGAAAAUUGAUGAUUAAAAGAGAGAAUCACCACUUGCAGAGAGACAAGUCGGAGGGCGGCGGCCGUAUCCAUCUCUGAAGACUGAGAUUUAAAGAGAGAAUCACCGUUGACUGAAAUUAGGGUUUUAAGUCAGUGGAAUUUAAACGGAAUGAGGAAGGCGGCGAUACAUAUGAGAGAUUAGGGUUUCCAGACAGUGGAGAAACUCCAAAUAUGAAGGAAGAAGUCGACGAUUUGCAAAUUACGCUUGAGAGAUUAGGAUGGUAAAGAAUGAAUGAAGGAGACGCCGAUAUAUGUUUGUGU